UGACCCGUCUUGAAGCACGGACCAAGGAGUCUAGCAUGUGCGCAAGUCAUUGGGUGUUAAACCUAAAGGCGCAACGAAAGUGAAGUCCUCGAGACUCAGGGCGCCUCGCGCGUCCUCUCUCCGUUGGGACUGGGGUGAUGACCGGCGCUGCAUCCGCAUCCGGUUCGCAACCCCGGGAUGUCGACGUCUCGCCGAGACCAGAUGUCCUCUGAGCGUACAUGUUGGUACCCGAAAGAUGGUGACCUAUGCCUGGCCAGGACGAAGUCAGGGGAAACCCUGAUGGAGGUCCGAAGCGGUUCUGACGUGCAAAUCGAUCGCAUGAGCUGGGUAUAGGGGCGAAAGACUAAUCGAACCGUCUAGUAGCUGGUUCCCUCCGAAGUUUCCCUCAGGAUAGCUGGAACUCGCUCGGAGAACGUUGCUAUGGAAGAGUCUCAUAUGGUAAAGCAAACGAUUGGAGAUCUUUGUGUCGAGAUGACGUAAACCUACUCUCGAACUUUAAAUGGGUGAGUCAGGGGCGGUGCUUUGUCACCAGCCCCAAGCUUUUCAUAAGCAGCGGGAUCUAUAGAGCUCCAAGUGGGCCAUUUUUGGUAAGCAGAACUGGUGCUGUGGGAUGAACCAAACGCGAAGUUAAAGCGCCCAAGUGAGAGAGUACGUAUACCAUGAAGUGUGCCGGUUGCUAGAGACAGCAGGACGGUGGCCAUGGAAGUCGGCAUCCGCUAAGGAGUGUGUAACAACUCACCUGCCGAAGCAACUAGCCCCAAAAAUGGAUGGCGCUUAGAUCUUUCCGCUUAUACUUCGCCGUCACGGCAAAGGCGGUCCCCUUCAUUGGGGGCCUUGAAGCGGUGAUGAGUAGGAGGGUCGCAUCGGUGUGCGCCGAAGCGUUGGGCGUGAGCCUGCGUGGAGCCGCCGAUGGUGCAGAUCUUGGUGGUAGUAGCAAAUACUCCGAUGGAGGCUCGGAGGACUGUUGCGGAGGAGGGUUUCGUGUCAACAGCAGUUGAACACGAGUGAGUCGGUCCUAAGCCCAUGGGGGAAGCCUCUCCCAGCGGUCUGUGUCUCUAACAGAGCGUCGAUGGGCGAAAGGGAAUCAGGUUAAGAUUCCAGAACUCAGGUCGGUACUGAUGCAGGUCCUGUACCUGUCACGGUAACGUGAACGACCCCGGAGAAGCCGUUGGGGCCUGCCAGGAGAGUUAUCUCCUCUGUAUAAGGGUGCAUGAUCCCUGGAAAGCCGUCAAGGCGAGAUAGGGAACGCCGCACGCGAAGAGCAGCGCACUUCGUGCGUUGUUGGCAGGAUACUUCGGACGUUGAAAAUCCGGGCGGGGGCUACGCGGACGUUCGACCUAGAUCCGUA
This 1348-nucleotide ribosomal RNA is filed under the name Selenothrips rubrocinctus. Its description in RNAcentral is "eukaryotic LSU rRNA". It matches the Rfam family "Eukaryotic large subunit ribosomal RNA", at positions 645 to 1846 of the family's 3401-position model. The record is from RNAcentral. Lineage: Eukaryota; Metazoa; Arthropoda; Insecta; Thysanoptera; Thripidae.